GCGCUUAUGAUAUUGCUGGUGGUUGUUUUGAAGAAAAAAGAUGGUUGUUGUGUGUUUGUUGUUGUUGGUGUCCGUUCUUAAUGGAGGAGGGAGUAUAGUAUAUGGUUCUUGUUAUUUUUAGUGGUCUGGUCGUCUUCUUCCCCUAAAUGGCGUGUGUGCGUGCUGUUGGUUCUAAUGGGUGAGGUGUUUUUUUGUAUAUUGUGUGCUGUGUGUUG
This 215-nucleotide long non-coding RNA is filed under the name Capsicum annuum. RNAcentral describes it as "long non-coding RNA (CANN_LNC021124)". Lineage: Eukaryota; Viridiplantae; Streptophyta; Magnoliopsida; Solanales; Solanaceae. The record is from RNAcentral.